UUUUUCUCCCGCAAACAUACUUUCUCCUCCCCUUCUCUGGCAGGACUGGGACACUGUUGAGAGGCAGGAGGAGGAGGCCCCCAGCUGGGACGAGCUCGCAGUGAUGAUCCCGAGGAGGCCUCGGGAGGGGCCGAGAGCUGACAGCUCCCAAAGGGCUCCGUCUCUCCUCACCAGGUCCCCUGUGGGAGGAGAUGCUGCAGGCCAGAAAAAGGAGGACACCGGCGGUGGGGGCCGGAGCGCAGGACAGCACUGGGCAAGGCUCCGGGGAGAAAGCGGGUUGUCCCUGGAGCGGCACCGGUCAACACUGACCCAGGCUUCCUCCAUGACACCACACAGUGGACCUCGAAGCACCACGUCUCAGGCUUCUCCUGCCCAAAGGGACACUGCUCAGGCUGCCUCUACACGUGAAAUCCCCAGAGCCUCCUCUCCCCAUCGAAUCACCCAAAGGGACACCUCCAGGGCCUCAUCCACCCAACAGGAAAUCUCCAGGGCCUCAUCCACCCAACAGGAAACCUCCAGGGCCUCAUCCACCCAAGAGGACACCCCUAGGGCCUCAUCCACCCAAGAGGACACCCCCAGGGCCUCAUCUACACAGUGGAACACCCCCAGAGCUUCCUCUCCCUCACGAAGCACCCAACUGGAUAACCCCAGAACCUCUUCUACCCAGCAGGACAACCCCCAAACUUCUUUUCCUACUUGUACUCCCCAGCGGGAAAACCCCAGGACACCCUGUGUCCAGCAGGACGAUCCCAGAGCCUCCUCUCCCAACAGAACCACUCAACGAGAGAAUUCCAGAACAUCCUGUGCCCAGCGGGACAAUCCCAAAGCCUCCAGAACCUCCUCUCCCAAUAGAGCCACACGAGACAACCCCAGAACAUCCUGCGCCCAGCGGGACAAUCCCAGAGCCUCCUCUCCCAGUAGAGCUACACGAGACAACCCCACAACAUCCUGUGCCCAGCGGGACAAUCCCAG
Molecule: long non-coding RNA, 972 nt
Filed under: Homo sapiens (human)
Lineage: Eukaryota; Metazoa; Chordata; Mammalia; Primates; Hominidae
Description: long non-coding RNA NONHSAT192348.1
Source: RNAcentral